CGUACCCUACGGGGCGCAGCAGUGAGGAAUAUUGGUCAAUGGCCGAGAGGCUGAACCAGCCAAGUCGCGUGAGGGAAGACGGUCCUAUGGAUUGUAAACCUCUUUUGUCGGGGAGCAAAGAGACCACGUGUGGUCAAAAGCGAGAGUACCCGAAGAAAAAGCAUCGGCUAACUCCGUGCCAGCAGCCGCGGUAAUACGGAGGAUGCGAGCGUUAUCCGGAUUUAUUGGGUUUAAAGGGUGCGUAGGCGGGACGGUAAGUCAGCGGUAAAAAUGCGGAGCUCAACUCCGUCGAGCCGUUGAAACUG
RNAcentral lists this ribosomal RNA (305 nucleotides) under uncultured bacterium. Its description in RNAcentral is "bacterial SSU rRNA". It matches the Rfam family "Bacterial small subunit ribosomal RNA", at positions 333 to 635 of the family's 1533-position model. The record is from RNAcentral.